UACGUAGGGCGCAAGCGUUGUCCGGAAUUAUUGGGCGUAAAGAGCUCGUAGGCGGCCAGUUGCGUCUGCCGUGAAAUCCCGGGGCUCAACCCCGGGCGUGCAGUGGAUACGGGCUGGCUAGAGGCAGGCAGGGGAGAACGGAAUUCCCGGUGUAGCGGUGAAAUGCGCAGAUAUCGGGAGGAACACCGGUGGCGAAGGCGGUUCUCUGGGCCGAUAUUGACGCUGAGGAGCGAAAGCGUGGGGAGCGAACAGG
Molecule: ribosomal RNA, 253 nt
Filed under: uncultured bacterium
Lineage: Bacteria
Description: partial 16S ribosomal RNA
Rfam family: Bacterial small subunit ribosomal RNA
Source: RNAcentral